This 254-nucleotide ribosomal RNA is filed under the name uncultured prokaryote. Its description in RNAcentral is "partial 16S ribosomal RNA". It matches the Rfam family "Bacterial small subunit ribosomal RNA", at positions 524 to 776 of the family's 1533-position model. The record is from RNAcentral.
UACAGAGGGUGCAGGCGUUGUUCGGAAUUACUGGGCGUAAAGAGCGCGUAGGCGGCACGGUACGACCGGUGUGAAAGCCCCCGGCUCAACUGGGGAGGGUCACCGGUUACGGUCGUGCUAUGAGUGCAGGAGAGGGAAGUGGAACUCCGGGAGUAGCGGUGAAAUGCGUAGAGACCCGGAGGAACACCGGUGGCGAAGGCGGCUUCCUGGUCUGCGACUGACGCUGUGGCGCGAAAGCUAGGGGAGCAAACGGG